Molecule: long non-coding RNA, 709 nt
Filed under: Mytilus galloprovincialis (Mediterranean mussel)
Lineage: Eukaryota; Metazoa; Mollusca; Bivalvia; Mytilida; Mytilidae
Source: RNAcentral
UUGUCAAAUCAUAAUUUUGAUUUUGAUUAUCAUUCUGCAUAUUAUCACACAAUAUAAGAAUGUUAUUUAUCAAGAACAGUGCACUGACAGUUUUGCUAAGAAAAAUGCAACAAAAAAUCAAACAAAGAUUCUCAUUUUCAUGUUUUCUCAUUGACAUUUAGAUAUAAUCAACAUUUUUUUUUAACUUCAAAACCAAUGCUCAUAUUAUAUCUUUUAAAAAGAUGGAAAAGUAGAAUAAUCCUGAAAUUUUAAUUGAUAAGAUACUGAUGUUACAUUAUAUUUGACACUUUCCUAAAAAAAAUGGCCAUAUUUUAUUCGUAACCAUAUUCUUUGUGUAGUAGGAUAAGCCUGAUACUGAAAAGAAGAGGAAUUUUUGAAAUUUAGAAUUUUAGGAGCUCAAUUAUAAAAGUAUCAUUCCUCCUACUUUGCCAUUGAUAUUGUUUCAAUCAAUUUAAUGCUUUAUUACCUAGAUUGAAUUGUUUUUAUGAUAGUAUUAAUUGAUUUAUCAAAAUGUAUCUUUAUUAUGUCAGAAGAAUAAAUAUUCGCAAACCAGGAAAUAUGAGUUCCAUUGUAAUAACACUAUGCAUCGUGAACAAAGUAAUGAUUUAGACAUUACAUUAUCAUAUAGUGACAUUAGCAAACAUUGUUAAAUAUUUUAUUUUGUAAUAAGUCUGUUUUAUUUAUUUAUUACAAAAGCAGAAAUAAUAAA